AUUGAACGCUGGCGGCAGGCCUAACACAUGCAAGUCGAGCGGCUGAAGGGAGCUUGCUCCUGGGUCCAGCGGCGGACGGGUGAGUAAUGCCUAGGAAUCUGCCUGGUAGUGGGGGAUAACGUCCGGAAACGGGCGCUAAUACCGCAUACGUCCUGAGGGAGAAAGUGGGGGAUCUUCGGACCUCACGCUAUCAGAUGAGCCUAGGUCGGAUUAGCUAGUUGGUGGGGUAAAGGCCUACCAAGGCGACGAUCCGUAACUGGUCUGAGAGGAUGAUCAGUCACACUGGAACUGAGACACGGUCCAGACUCCUACGGGAGGCAGCAGUGGGGAAUAUUGGACAAUGGGCGAAAGCCUGAUCCAGCCAUGCCGCGUGUGUGAAGAAGGUCUUCGGAUUGUAAAGCACUUUAAGUUGGGAGGAAGGGCAGUAAGUUAAUACCUUGCUGUUUUGACGGUACCAACAGAAUAAGCACCGGCUAACUUCGUG
Molecule: ribosomal RNA, 484 nt
Filed under: uncultured bacterium
Lineage: Bacteria
Description: partial 16S ribosomal RNA
Rfam family: Bacterial small subunit ribosomal RNA
Source: RNAcentral